Molecule: small nuclear RNA, 106 nt
Filed under: Dasypus novemcinctus (nine-banded armadillo)
Lineage: Eukaryota; Metazoa; Chordata; Mammalia; Cingulata; Dasypodidae
Source: RNAcentral
GUGCUUGCUUCGGUAGCACCUACAAUAAAAUUAGAAUGAUACAGGGAAGAUUAGCAUGGCCCUGCACAAGGAUGACACACAAAUCCGUGAAACGUUCCACACUUCU